UAAUUUAGAAAUUAAAAAUAUUUAAAAAAUGAAAGGAAAAAAAAAACCUGUUAUAAAAAUAACCUGGAAUAUGUACGAAUAUUGAGCUGCACGUAAAGUAGAUGAGACACAGCAUUUAACGAGGUUCGGCUAUGCCUACGUCCUCGGAGAGCAGCAGUAGUAACUUUUCACUAUAUAAAAUAAUAUGUCUACAACUUUAGUGUUUA
This 206-nucleotide long non-coding RNA is filed under the name Prunus persica (peach). Its description in RNAcentral is "long non-coding RNA (PPER_LNC006207)". Lineage: Eukaryota; Viridiplantae; Streptophyta; Magnoliopsida; Rosales; Rosaceae. The record is from RNAcentral.